This 76-nucleotide transfer RNA is filed under the name Micromonospora sp. NBRC 101691. RNAcentral's name for it is "tRNA-Leu". It matches the Rfam family "tRNA". From Rfam's summary of the family: Transfer RNA (tRNA) molecules are approximately 80 nucleotides in length. Their secondary structure includes four short double-helical elements and three loops (D, anti-codon, and T loops). Lineage: Bacteria; Bacillati; Actinomycetota; Actinomycetes; Micromonosporales; Micromonosporaceae. The record is from RNAcentral.
GUCCGGGUAGCCCAAAUGGCAGGAGGCAACGCGUUCAGGACGCGUUCAGUGGGGGUUCGAAUCCCUCUCCGGACAC